Molecule: long non-coding RNA, 1894 nt
Filed under: Homo sapiens (human)
Lineage: Eukaryota; Metazoa; Chordata; Mammalia; Primates; Hominidae
Description: HSALNT0202201
Source: RNAcentral
CCUUUCCUGCUCCCACAAUGGUGGUAUCAUUGUUCCCACCUGAGCCACCAUAGCAGGAGCAAUUAGAUCACUGGAAAGGACUUGGAAGAAUAACUGAAGAAACAGGUAAUAAGAGACACAUGAAUCUGUGAGUCUAUGACUGAUGAUAAGAGACAUCUGCCUACCAGAGGUAAUGUGAAUAUUUAAUGUUGUGAAUCCAUAAAUAUUUAACUACAUUCAAAUAUUUAGCUACUAAAAUUGCCUCUCUAAAAAAAUGAGAUUUUCUGAAUACAGGGCCAUUUUUCUCAAGGCACAGUAUAGUCUGAGCAAUUCAUUAAAAAAAUCAUUUUUGACAACUUACCAUCGAUUACAGAGUGCAGCCCAGUGCGUGGUGGGAUCCCAUCUGAUACACUGAUCAGACAGAGUGUAAUAAAAGCCCUGAUCUGGCUAUCUCUCAUCACACACAGGAUGUCGGAAAACUGCUCCUGGUUUCUUGACAUUUAUAGAUCAUAUCCUUCCCUUGCUUUCCCUAGGGCAUCUUGUGAGACUCUCCUCUGAGCAAAAUUAUUGUGCCACAGUAUAGAAAAUAUAUGCACUGAGGAAAUGGUUAACAACAGCAAAUCAAAUAAUAGCUAACAGUGGGAGUUGAACUUGUGAAGGGGGAGGAGGGGAAGACAAAUUUCCAGGACUUUUGGCUGCAGACACAUCCUCAGGCAAAUUAAUGCAUGGAAAUGGAGGACUUGGGACUUAAUUCUCCAGAACCAUCUGUGCCCCGUGUCCUUAGGAAAGCCUCUACAUAACCCCAGGGCUCCGGUUCUUCAGUCUGAAGAUUGCUGCUCUUCACACAUCCUUUGUCUCUCCAAUUCUUAUCUGUGUCUGAAGCACUUUUUUCUCUCUCAACACUUUCUCUACCUUCAAAUUUCAGAGAAGACAGCUGCCAACCAAAAAGAAGGGGCCUCAGUAGGCCUCUACCUACCGGUCCUUAUCAAUGUCAUCACCAUUGCUGAAGCCUUUACCACCUCCACUUCCGUUCCCAUCACAGCCUCCUUGAUUUCCAAACUAUGGUUGUCCACUUUAAGCACUUCCUUCUCUAUUACUUGAUAAAUGAUUAAUUGAUUAUCCAACAUGGACUUUGGUUCUGUCUGCUACCUUAGAGAGGCCCAAGGAGUCCUUUGAAGACAUGGAAGAGACACAUGUGUGUUAGUGUAUCGGCAAAGGGGCGUUUAUGACAUCAGCAGUAUUGUUACUGGAAAGGGGUCCCAAUCCAGACGCCAAGAUAGGCUUCUUGGAUCUCAUGCAAGAAAGAAUUUGAGGCAAGUCCAUAGAGCAAAGUGAAAGCAAGUUUAUUAAGAAAGUAAAGGAAAUAAAGAAAUUUCUUUCCCCUCCUUCUCUCCCUCCCUCCCUCCUUCCCUCCCUCUUUCCUUCCUUCCUUCCUUCCUUCCUUCCUUCCUUCCUUCCUUCCUUCCUUCCUUCCUUCCUUCCUUCGUUCCUUCUUCCUCUCUGUCUCUCUGUCUCUCUCUCUUUCUCUCUCUCUCGACAGGGUCUUCUGCUGCUGCCCAGGCUGGAGUGCACUGGUACUAUCACAGCUCACUGUAGCCUCUACCUCUGGAACUCGGGUGAUUAUUCCACCUCAGCCUCCCAAGUAGCUGGGACUACAGGUGCACACCACCACACCCUAAUUUUUGUAUUUUUUGUAGACAUGGGAUUUUGCCAUGUUGCCCAGGCUGGUCUGGAACUCCUGGGCUCAAGCGAUCUGCCUACCUUGGCCUCCCAAAGUGCUGGGAUUACAGGCAUGAGCCACCAUGCCUGGCCCCAACUUUUCUUUAAAGAAGCAGAAAUAAAAGUACAAAGAAAAAAUGUAAAAUACACUAAACUAUUGAUAAUGUAAAUUAUCUCUGGAGGGAAGGACUCGGCG